GUAGGGGGCGAGCGUUAUCCGGAAUCAUUGGGCGUAAAGGGUGUGUAGGCGGUUAGAUAAGCGAGAGGUUAAAGGCUAUGGCUCAACCAUAGUAAGCCUUUCGAACUGUUUAACUUGAGUACAGGAGAGGAGAGCGGAAUUCCUAGUGUAGCGGUGAAAUGCGUAGAUAUUAGGAGGAACACCAGUGGCGAGGGCGGCUCUCUGGACUGUAACUGACGCUGAGGCACGAAAGCGUGGGGAGCAAACAGGGAUUAGAUACCCUGGUAGUCCACGCCGUAAACGAUGAAUGCUAGGUGUCGGGGGGUCGAACCUCGGUGCCGGAGUUAACGCAAUAAGCAUUCCGCCUGGGGAGUACGAUCGCAAGAUUG
Molecule: ribosomal RNA, 368 nt
Filed under: uncultured organism
Description: partial 16S ribosomal RNA
Rfam family: Bacterial small subunit ribosomal RNA
Source: RNAcentral